GAUUGUGGAGAAUUGGAAAUUCGAUUUUUAUUUUUCUUUCCUUUUUUUAUAUUUUUAUAUUAACAUCGUAAUUAUAGAAAUCGUAGAAAAAUACGAAAGAAAAUAUUAUCGUGCUCGAGGUGAUUGCUAAUUAUUAAUAUCGUGGAAGGUUUAUGGAAAAUGUAGAAAAAUAUAAAGAGAAUCGUGGUGGUUAUCAACAUUAAUUACAAAUUAAAACCGAUAAUGGAGAGAAUAUAAAGAGGAGAUACGAAGAAGGAUAAUUAAUUUGCAAAUAUUUCUCUAAAAUAAUUUUUGUGCGCCAUUGUGAUUUUCAGCUUCUCGUGAAGAAGGAAAAAAAAAGUCAAAUUUUGAAAUAGAAUUAGAAAGAAUAUUUGGGGCAACAGGGAUAAAUAAUUUAGGCGAAAAAUUAAUCCAAAAUAAAAUAGGUAUCCAUGGAAUAAGUAUCGUUGUACGUUCAAAGUCGUAAUUACAAGUCGUAUAAGUUUGUUUCGACGAGAGGAAUCUACAAGGCGAUAGGAAAGAAAACUGAAUGACACGUGAGACGAGUUAUGGAGGCUUGGCACACUACUAAGCCGCUGUUGCAUAUAUCCUAUAUAUCGUUACGUUACAUAAGUAGCCGGUCACGAAUUGUAAUUAUCAGCCGGCUUGUGCGAACUUUCUCCGCACGGUUUUUAUCAGAAUAAACACGAUCUCUUAUUGUUAAUCCCGUUCUCACCUCAUAUAAAUUCGAGAUACCCUCCUUUACGUUAUUCGCUUUAAUUUCCAAACGUGGAAACACGAUUCUCAAACGCGAUUUACGUAAUUAUUUUAAAAUAACUUAAAUUCUUACGUAAAAACUGUUCUUCUGAAUAUCUACGUACCAUUGAUUUCUUGCAACAACAACAAGGCAAUCAAACAGAAAUAUAAAAUUUUACUAAUAUUACGAGUUACCUUUCCGGAAGUGGGCGAGGGCGACGUUGAGUUUAACCCCUGCUGUAGAUGAUACAUCUUCGGGGCGAGCAUAGAUGGAGGUGCACCGAGGCUACCCGGGGCGACAGCCACGCUCGUCAUGGUCGUUUCCUACGAUGGGCGCAGUCCUCGGCUUCUUCCAACCACCUGUCCGCGACCUUCUGCGAUCUCUGUAAUUGGUCAUCCUCGUACCGUCACCUCUGAAACGCGAACAAACGUAUUUUGAACUCGAUUUCGACUCGACAGUUGUAGUUGAUAAGAUUUUAGUCGGCGAACAUCUUUUUCCUUGUAAUCGUCGUGUACAUUGUAGCGGAAUGUGCACGAUCAACUGUGAGAAGUGCAAUUAACGUUGGUAACGAAAGGUUUUCAUUUUUCAUCAUGAAACCUAAGGCGAGUACAAAGAAGAGAAAUUGUCUUAUGAAUGGAAGAAGAGCGGAGAACGAAAGUUUGCCUCGUCUUUCUUUUCUUCGAUGCAAUCAGAUAUACACAGAAUGGAAGAUAUAAUGGAAGACGGUUGUAAUCCUUAAUUCAUUUAUAAUAUAAUAUAUUUGUAAUAUUGAAAUUUAAAAUUUAACAAAUGUUAACUCCAUUCUAUAGAAAAUUGAAAAAUUAAUCGAUCUUGAUUUUCGCUGCUUUCCAUUAUUUCUUUUUGUAUCCAGUAAGGAUCAUUUAAAUAGAGGAAAUUUAAAAUUAAAAGCAAUAUAAUAAAUCGUCAAUCAAUCAACGAUUCAUUUUUUCACGUUUCGAAGGGAAUCUGUUAGAAUUGUGAUCUAGAGAUCGACCAAGCUUCGAAUUCGCGAACGAAGUUGAAAGCAAACGUCUCCUUUUUACGCACGGGUAUAAAGUCACAGCGAAAUGGCGAUUCGUUGGGCAAUCGUGUUUCGAUCGUAUUACGACACCCCACAAUGGCACCGUGUAAUUUCACUCUCGCCAGGAGAUCGCAAUUGCACAAUUUUCGUCGCGCCAGACGAGACAUUCGGGCGGACCUAGAAAGCGUCUAGGAAAUGCUAAUUCGCCAACAGUUGUUGGUCUUACAGUUACGCGUACGAAUAUAUUUUCCACGAUCCGCAAUGAACCUGUUCUGCGCUCGACAUCAACACAUCUCGGAUAAAUCUCCCGUAAAUUUCCAAAUUUUUCACUCGAAUUCUUAAUUUGCACCUGUCGGAGAAAUUCCUGUAAUUUUAUCGUAAAUUGAAACCUGAUUCCUUUUCUUGAAUAUUAAUUUCAAAAACUAUGAAACUUUUCAAAAUAAUUUCCAUCCUGUUUAUUCUACGAGUCAAGUUUCUCGUUUUAUUAAAAUACACAGAAACAAGUGGUAUGUAGAAUGUAGAAUAUUUUUCUUAUUCCUCGAAAUUUGAUCAAAUUAAUUAGAAUUAAGUUUAGAAAAAGAGAGAGAGGAAAAUAACGCUUAGAAUCGGUAUAAUAGAUUCGGAAAGAUUGGAAGGAAAGAAUUCGAAACUUUUACAAUGUAGGUUGACACACCUUUGGUAUAAACUAUACACUCUCGAUACUGUUACCUCGCACGGCUAAGAUUCAUUAUGAUGCAUCGGCAUGCCGCCGACUGAUUUUUAUUUAAGAAUCAUCGUGACACGCAUUUCAUUCCGUUGAUCUCAUUGUCGACAUCCACAUGGAUUUAUCUUAUAUUUAUAUUAACCUUCGUUUGUACGUGGAAUUCCUAUUUUUCUCUCUCUAUCUCUUUUAUUAGAAGAAUAAUGUAAUUCAAGAAUGAAGUUUUACCUUCGAAAAUGUGACAGAAUUGUAAAAAAUUGAUCACUUUUAUCUGAGUUUCAUUAAUACAAGAUUAAACGUGGAAAAUAGUGUUACACGAAUUCUCUAUUUUCAGAAUUUUCAACAUCUUUCGAACAGGAUGGUGAAACGCAACAAGGCAAAAUGGAGUGGCGAGGCUGCAAGGCUGUAUCCGAGAAAACAAAAGACAGGGUGGCGGACGUUGAGAUUUUAUUUCCAUCAAGAAGAAGUAAACCAAAGAGAACAUGAUCUCGUUAGGUGGUUAACUGACCCGAUAACGGUUCCCCGAGAGAAACGGUUACCGACACGCGGACCCAGAGAAAACGGAAAGAUAAAACGUGAAAAAAGACGUAAGAGUAAAAAAGUGAAAAGGAGCGAAGGAUGAAAGGCAAGCAGCGAGGGGGAGGGAACACGAGACAAAACUUGUAUUCAUUUUCAUCGGGAUAAAUACUAAAUCGCACGCUUUCGUUGAAUUACAACGUUUUUUCGAAACCAAUUUCGUUGUUUUUUCCCCCCGUUUAUACAGACACACGCCUAUAUUAUCGCUUCCACGUAAGAAAGUGGUAAUGCAAAUGAAAAGUGUUCCGUUCUUCCUGUUGCGCGCAGGUUUCGAACGGAUAAAACCGAUGCUUUCUUUGCAAACUUUAUGCAAAUUAUCGUCUCGAAUAAAAAUCUCUUUGUCUUGUUGUA
Apis cerana (Asiatic honeybee) is the source of this 3384-nucleotide long non-coding RNA. RefSeq lists it as uncharacterized. The record is from RefSeq and is a predicted model, not a curated record. Lineage: Eukaryota; Metazoa; Arthropoda; Insecta; Hymenoptera; Apidae.